Small nuclear RNA from Octodon degus (degu), 192 nucleotides. RefSeq annotates it as U2 spliceosomal RNA. The transcript has a single exon. Lineage: Eukaryota; Metazoa; Chordata; Mammalia; Rodentia; Octodontidae. The record is from RefSeq and is a predicted model, not a curated record.
AUCGCUUCUCAGCCUUUGGGCUAAGAUCACGUGCAGUAUCUGUUCCUAUCAGCUUAACUCCAUUUUAGGUCACUUUUUCCCCAGAAUUUUAGUACAUUUACAUUUAUUAUAGUGACAAAUAUGUCUGUGCUUGUUCUAGCAGUCUUAUUUCAUGUUCCCGAAACUUCAUUUUUACUCAGGUCUCCACUUCUC